CGGACGGGUGAGUAACACGUAGGUAACCUACCCAACAGCGGGGGAUAACACUUGGAAACAGGUGCUAAUACCGCAUAAUUGCUUUUACCGCAUGGUAGAAGUAUGAAAGACGCUUUCGGGUGUCACUGAUGGAUGGACCUGCGGUGCAUUAGCUAGUUGGUGAGAUAAAAGCCCACCAAGGCAAUGAUGCAUAGCCGACCUGAGAGGGUGAUCGGCCACACUGGGACUGAGACACGGACCAG
Molecule: ribosomal RNA, 242 nt
Filed under: uncultured bacterium
Lineage: Bacteria
Description: partial 16S ribosomal RNA
Rfam family: Bacterial small subunit ribosomal RNA
Source: RNAcentral